CCCAUCUCAUGUGACCCUGAGGGAGGCAGAGUGAGUUAUGGACGGUUUAGAAAGGAAGGUCCGGGCUUCCAACCAUUAGUUCAGUUUUCAGUAAGUUUUCCAUUUCCUCCUUUAUAAAUUUGAAGUACAUUUUAGGGUACCUUUGGGAAUGACUGUGCAGGAUUAUGCUUGCUUCUUAAGAUCUUGGCAAGUUGUCAUGUUGCUGUCUUGCAUAUAGCCAUGGUCGUGAUUGUUAUCCGAAGUGCCCUGCCUUUGUCAAGCAUGACGACUGAGAUGUCCCGGUGAUGGAGUCAAGGAGAACUCUUGGAGCCACCGUGUGAGCCCUCAUUAAGCAGACUGGCUUCCUCACCUGAUGAAAGCCCGGGCACCCUGAGAGGCGGGGCACUGCAGAGCACACCACUGCCUGCAGGAGGGGAACAGAACAGCUUGUGGUUUCCCUCUUGCCAGCCGAGGGCCAUGAGCUUAAGGCUGCCACUCUGAAGUGUUUACCUUUCCCACUUGGGUUCUCUGAGUGCACUGUGCAGUUUGCAGGGGCUCGGUGAUGCGUGAAGACGCCGCUGUUACGUCGGCUAAGGGAUGUGUGCUUCAAACUCUUGCGCGUUAGACAUUUUUGUUUUUAUGGCAAAUAUUACAAAUAAAUAAACAUCAUGAGCAAAAGCUUUCAGGAUAAUAAUUUUAUAAAGUGUAAACAAUUCUUAGACCAAAAAGUUAGAGAACUGCUGUAACAGACAAACCCUUGAAAAACAAUAAUAAUAACAUAUUGUUUGAGCUCUUUCUACACGCUCAAUCCGCUGUCUUCACAUCAUCUUGCUGAAGCUGGAGGACAGUCCACUGGAGUGUCUCACCUUGCUGAUGAGGAGUUGGGAUUGGCUGCACCAUGCUGAACACCAGGUCUUCAACACGGAGGCUUUGGGGCUUUCCAGACCCGCACAGAAGAAGUGAGCCUCCCUUGUCCUCUUGUGUGCCCUGGCCUGUCAGGAGGCAACAAGAAGGCUCUCACAGGUGCCAGCACCACGCUUUCAGGUCUGUCAGCCUUCACAGACGUGAGCUAAGUAACCUCCAGACUACCCAGCCUCAGGUAUUCUGUUUCAGCGAUAGAAAGUAGGCUCAGGGAGGUAGCACGAGCCCUGCUUUCUGGUUCUUUGAGUGUCAGGUGACAAUUCUAACUCUUAUAUCUGGACCCCAGUGGACUGCAGCCAGUCAGUCCUCGGAGAAUCUCAAGUAGCUCGGUAACAAAAUACCCAAGGCAGGACUCAGCCAGCCUGGCUUCCCGACGGUCUUGGCGCCAUGAAAGUGGAGAUGAUGAGGCUGCGGAGAGGGGCUUUCCAUUUCGGUUUCCCUGGGAUCUCACUCCAGCGCUCUAAUGAGGCAGCACACGCUUUAUGUGAAGGCAAAUGUCUCCCUGAUCGUCUAACCUUCCGUGAUGACAGAUGUGAAAGCAGUCAGUGCUUUUGUUCUCAUGUGAGCCGGACUCGGCCGACCAGAUGAGAUGAAGAGGAAGAGGUGACCCGGAGUGGGCUCCUCCUCGCCUGCACUGCCACGUCGGUCACGAUGUAGCAGUACACACACAAAAUCAGAGCUGGCUCCUGUGAGGGUGCCACCCGCCUGCUCUCAUAGCCCAAGUGCAGGAAAACGCUUCCCCAACAGGCUCACCUAAGUCUCCGCAAGCAGGGAAUACUCGAAGUUAAGGUGGUCAGCAGAGUAGGAGGAGGACUGAGAGGUGUGACCAUCCCGGGGCACUGGCUGACCCGUGGGCUGCGCAGAAUUCUCAUUCCCAAGUCCUGGGGUCAUUUUAGUAACCCUCGGGCCUCCCAGGGUACUGAAUGGGAGUGGCUGUGGGAGCUUCUCAGACCCAGAGAGCACUUGCUCCGCUCCAUCAGCUGCGUUGUCAUGACCCCGGUGCCGCGGGCAGCUCCAGGGUUAGGGUUAGUCUGGUCUUUUGGUGAGGGUGGAGGUAGAAUUAAAUUCAGCCAAGUUAGUAUUUCCUGAGAACCUACUGCGUGCAGGACCUUUACUCUGUACUCCCAGUCCUUGACUCUUGCCAUCUUGUUGCAGGUAAUGGCACAGGGAGAAGUGGCAAGAAUUGUGGACUUGUCCUCAAACAGGGGCAAACUGUUGGUACGUGUGGUUGCUUUCUUAGCAUAUGAGUUAUUUAUCACAUUCUACGAGCCC
Molecule: long non-coding RNA, 2172 nt
Organism: Fukomys damarensis (Damara mole-rat)
Lineage: Eukaryota; Metazoa; Chordata; Mammalia; Rodentia; Bathyergidae
Source: Ensembl